RNAcentral lists this ribosomal RNA (335 nucleotides) under uncultured fungus. RNAcentral's name for it is "eukaryotic LSU rRNA". The stretch from base 1 to 71 matches the Rfam family "5.8S ribosomal RNA", at positions 84 to 154 of the family's 154-position model. Lineage: Eukaryota; Fungi. The record is from RNAcentral.
GUGAAUCAUCGAGUCUUUGAACGCAAAUUGCGCUGUUGGGCAUUCCUGACAGCAUGCUUGGCUGAGUAUCAUCUGGACAAAUCACAAAGAUUUCUUUGUGGAAAUGAGGCGUCACAUUGGCAACAAUGCGUCCCUUUAAAUGCAGACGGUGAAGGACAUUAGCGUUCUUGUACCACUAGUGUGUCAAUUGUCCUCUGGACAUCGUGCACUAUGUCGGUGCUUGAACAACAAAGCUAAUGAUUGGAUCCUAAUUUAAACUCAAUACGAAAGUUUGAAUUCUCAGCUCAAGCAAGACUAACCCGCUGAAUUUAAGCCAUAUCUAAAUAAGACGGAGG